This 1681-nucleotide long non-coding RNA is filed under the name Anas platyrhynchos platyrhynchos (common mallard). RNAcentral's name for it is "lncRNA (ENSAPLG00000029234.1)". Lineage: Eukaryota; Metazoa; Chordata; Aves; Anseriformes; Anatidae. The record is from RNAcentral.
CUUACUUAAAAUAACUUUAUAAUGUCCUUUUCUCUCCAAGGUCUCUUUCAAGGCUCUGCCUGGGUUGCGUUUGGACUUGUGCAGAGCAAGUCUGCCUGAGGAAGGAGGGCCAGAAAAUUUGGGGAGGGCGGUUUGGGGUGAGGAGGGAAGGGGAAAUGCUGAUAAGGGUGACAAACGCUUUCACCUUCAGGAGUGGCGAGCUGUGGGAGAGCUGGCUGCAAUGAGGGCCUGGCACAGCUUCAGCUUGCGCACGUGGGGAUGGAUCAGCUGAGAGAAAUGACUGCAUUUAUUCAAUGAAUUUACAUGAGGUGCCUGCGCUGCCAGAAGGGGCUGGGCUCCCUCUUUCCCUCCCUGACAUCAGUGGCUCCACGCAGGAGUGGCAGGACCUGGUUGGGGGUGUCAGCAACAAAGCUUUCGGAGCACAAGAUUGUUGUCGUGUGGCCUUCGGUACCCCCAUGAACUCUUGCUGCAGUUCCCCACCGCCUCUGCACCUCGGUGGAGCAGGGUGAGAAGAAGCUGCGUGUGGUUAGCACGGCUCUACAGCAAGCACUGCUCUUCUGCUACUGCCCUGCCUCACGAAGGGGGGACAAAGGAAGGCACGGAUACUCAGAGCAUUAUGAUGACAGCAGGAUAAGCUCUUUCACUGUAAAGAGAUGUAAUUUUUUAGCCUGUUCCUGAGCAGGCUUUGCUCAAAUGGCUCCUGCAAAGAAAGAUGCUGGGAAGAAGUGGUUAUGGCUUUGCUGAGGAACAUACCCUCAGUGAUCACAGACGGAUCCAUGGGAUGAAGGUCGGGAAAUGAGCCCUGGGUGCUCCCAGGGAGAUGUGUAGGGGGGCAAGGUCUGAGGGCAGUACUGGUGCCAGCCUGAACAAAGCUGCCGGGGCUCAUGGACCAUUUCUCACCACAUCCACCUGCACUUGGCCAGGAAACGUAAUGAGGGCAAAGACUCGCAAAAAUGACCUACUUGUGCAGGCUGUUUAUCUGCGAAGCAGGCACGGUGUUCAAAGGCCUGCAGGUGGUCAAUGUAGGUGAAAACAGAAACAGAAGGGACCCAGCACCUUGAAAGAUCAGCACCAGCCUUUCUGUGAAUACAAGGGGAUUGCAUUUCCUGCCUGGUCUCUUCUGAGCUUUUGUUGACUUUCUUUUUGGGGCUUUGCUAACUGAUAACUCCUGCACAUUAUGCUAUUUUAAUACCUAGCAAAGAGCCUUGUCUGCUAAAUCACCUUAUUUUUCUCUGAUCGGAGCACAGUGUAUUCCUCUUUUUAGUAGAAGGUAUUAAUUUAAAUUCCAUAAUCCCAAACAUAUUCUCGUUUCUGUUCUGUGCUUCAGAAGGCCAAUGGCAUUUUAAUUUAAUAAGGGAGAAACACACAUGACACUGUGUUCCCUGCAACUGUCUUCUGACCUCAAUGAGUCUUUCCCAGCUUUCUUUAUGUUCCAGCAAAUGCAAUCCCUGCUUUUAUUGAAGAACUAUUGUUCCUAAUACCCAGCUUCUACCUGGCAAAACUUAAAUAUCUGUAAUGUUUUCACAGUAACUUUUUAGACAUUAUUUGCAUUACUAUUUAGUAAUACAAGUUUAUCGGUGGAGCCUUAGAGAGAUUUAUGUCCCACUAAAAAAUUGUCUGAACAUAUGCUGGCCUUUUGCAGAUAAAUAAAAUUUAUUUUGGUUUGCUUUGGUUUUGGAUU